Rosa chinensis is the source of this 2645-nucleotide long non-coding RNA. RefSeq lists it as uncharacterized. NCBI's taxonomy places the organism in Eukaryota, Viridiplantae, Streptophyta, Magnoliopsida, Rosales, Rosaceae. The record is from RefSeq and is a predicted model, not a curated record. The transcript is spliced from 3 exons.
ACAAAUAAUGUAAAGAGAGAUGCCAUUAUAUUGUAAAAAGGCUGUGUCUCUCUCUCUCUCUCUGAUAUAAGAAUCUGUCGAUGCACCUUUUUUCGAACCACUUGAAAGAAUCCAUAAGAAACCCGCUUCCAUCGGUUUCUUCUUUCUUCUGAGUUUGCUGAAUUGUUGGGUGGGUUCUGCACUUCUGCCGACACAGAGUGGGAACUGGGAAGAAACAAAAGAAGAAAUUGAGAGGGUUCUGCCGCCUCCUCUCUGUUCUUUCUUACGAAUUGCCCCUGCCUCCUCUUUUGCGUAAUUACCCAGUCCAGGUGUUGGUAGCCUAUCGAACGAAAGGUGAGAGAGAGGCGGAGAGCGACAGAGGAAGCCUCUGUUUCUUUCUCUUUUCUUCUGCAGCUUUCAAGUUUUGACCUGCUUAACCAAAACAGAGCUCGCAGCGAUGAAGACCGAAACGACGGCAUUUCAAAUCGACCUGGUUUUUCCCAUCGCUGUUGACUUUCAUCAUCAAUUCCCUCCAACCCUUCUUCAAGGGAUUCAGAAAGGUUGAUCCAAACUGGUGGGAGUUUGCAAACGAGUGGUUCCUAAGGGGCAGACACAUUUAUUGAGAAAUGUUGUGAGGAGAAAACGCAACAAUAACUUUCCCUCUCAGAAUUGAUGUUCUGGAUUUCUGUUUCGCGGUUGGACCUGAUUCUCAAGUUUGCAGCUUUAAAAUCCCAAAAGCCAGAAGAGAUUUAGGGCUUGACAUAGUUUAAAAACCAUGGGAGAAGAUGACGUGUACACAAAAGAUUGGAGGGUUGAAUCCAUUCCAGAUGAGUUUCUCAAAUUUUGAUUUGUUUUUAGUCUUUCCCCAUUCUCUUCUUUUUACUAAAACCUGUCUUCUUACUAAAAACAUGUCUUCAUUUGUUUGUGUACAGCUCCUUGCAUUCUCUGGCUCAUGCCUACUUAACAGUAAUCGACCCAGAUGAUUUAUAUGAUCUGUUACAUAUGCCAAUGUAAUUCAUACGUGAUCUGUAUGAUAUAGUAUUGUGUAAUGAUUACAUCAGUUUAAAUGGUUAGUUGUAGUUGGAGUAACCGUAUCGGAAGUGCUUAGUGAGGGUGCACUUACUAUUCUUAGUUUCUUAUUCUUUCCUGUUGUUAGAAUUGUACUUAAUUAUCUCAAUUAUUUCUGCACGAUCAAAUUGAUUUUCCAUGGUGAUGUCUACUCAAUGUUAAUGAUCUGUAUGUCUUAUCAACUUCACGUUGUUCAGUACAUAAUUUUUGUAGCUCUGUUUAUUUGAAUCAGUCAUGUAGUGUUUCUAAACUGUAAUACAUUGCCCUAAAAAGGUUCUUCCCUUUUCCUUUCCAGUUUUAACAGUGUGAUUACCCAGUUCUGAAGCUUGAACCUAAUAUGUUACAAACAUUACCCAACUUCCCAUAACGAUUAUGAGUUAGUGUUUGCAUUGCAUUAUUGAUAUGUGGCUUCAGUUGCUUGCCUGUGGAGGUUAAUUUCAUGGUAUUGUUAAGAGGUUGGUUGUUCCUCUUGGAAAAUUGGUUUAUGGAGUGAUUCAUGGUCUUGGUUCGAAAAUUGUUCUUAUUUUUUCUUCAUUUUGGCUCAUGGUACUAUCAGAAUAGGUCUACAACUAUUUGUAAAUAUUCUUCUGAUAUUAGCUGUUCUUGAGUUUGUAGUGCUACUUUCUGCACUUGUACAUUUUGGUUUAAUGAGAAUAGCUUAUCAGAAUGGUGAGUAUAUAUUUUAGACCACUCAGUUCACUCUAAGACCAAUUUAGAUUUAUUAUCCUCAUAUCUAUAUAAUUUCCUACGCAAAUGCAGGUUUUUGAUAUUGAAGUUGAUGAGUUUUGGUCUGUAGGGAUAAGUGGAACAACUAAGCUUCAUUACUAGAAAAGUAGAAAGAAAAUACUUUUGAUUCUAAUCUUGAAGCCUAUGAGCAUGUUACAAUCAACGAAUCCACGAAUCUUUUAAGAUAGCAAAAAGUUUCAAAUCUGUUUGUUGCAAUAUAUGUAAAGCUUCAUCCUUUAUUUUUUUGGUAGGUUUUGGGAUUUGGUUUGUUCAUACCUAAGAAGAUAAACAAACUGUAAUUAACUAUUUCAAGGUGAUUUGUAUAUUUCCUUCUCUUUUUUAUUUUACAGUUAUUGCAUCUUUUGCAUGAUCAAGUUAACUGGGAUUUUGUAUGUACAGUCCAUGGAUUUGCAGAUGAGUCUUCAGUUGAAGAUGCAUUUGAGUCUGCCAAUGAAUUAGGUCAGUGGUAAAUCCCCAUUGUAGAAACUUGAUACCAGCUUGGUUAAAAUACCAGGUGUUUGCUUAAUUUUUCUCUUUACAAGCUUGUUUAAAAUACCAGCUUUUGUAAUAUGUUUAUAACAUUUUGAAUUAAUGUUUCCUAGCUUAUAAUUGUGAUUAUAUUACGUACAUCAUGAGUUGAGGAAAAAAAAAAUUUAACCCGCAGCAUCGCGCGUGAGCACUUUCCAGUAAAUUCAAAUCAGGUGACCCCUUGAUGGCCCUCCGUUGUUCGCUAGCUUACACUACCUAGUUUAACUCCCAACUUUCUUUUCUUUUUGAUGUUCAUUUCUUUUGGAAAAUUGAUGUUCAUUUCUAAUAUUGUAAAUUAGCAAUUACUGUUAGACAAUAAUAUUCGACUUAUGACUUGUUUCAAA